Molecule: long non-coding RNA, 362 nt
Filed under: Mytilus galloprovincialis (Mediterranean mussel)
Lineage: Eukaryota; Metazoa; Mollusca; Bivalvia; Mytilida; Mytilidae
Source: RNAcentral
GAGAUGUCCUACUAAGGCUGUCGUACCAUAAAAACAUGUAUAACACAGCUCACAUUCUAAUACAAUUAUCUACAUUCAUAAUAACAUUGAGAAAGGAGAUGGGGAAUGUGUCAAAGCGACAACAACCCGACCAUAGAGCAGACAACAGCCGAAGGCUCAUAAUCUAGUAUAAUAUAAGAGCAUAAACCUUAAGCACGGGGAGGCUCUCUAUUUAUUAUUGUCAUUUCGACUAAACAACGCCAUUUUUUGUUUUGUGCCUCUGCUGUCUAAACCACCUAUUUCAAGGGAAGAGGUAGAAGAGAGCAUGCAGAAGAUCUUCCCAAUGCAAAAAAAAAAAAAAAAAAAAAAAAAACAACAGAAAU